RNAcentral lists this ribosomal RNA (435 nucleotides) under uncultured bacterium. RNAcentral describes it as "partial 16S ribosomal RNA". It matches the Rfam family "Bacterial small subunit ribosomal RNA", at positions 29 to 507 of the family's 1533-position model. The record is from RNAcentral.
AGCGAACGCUGGCGGCAGGCUUAACACAUGCAAGUCGAACGGGCUUCUUCGGAAGUCAGUGGCAGACGGGUGAGUAACACGUGGGAACGUGCCCUUCGGUUCGGAAUAACUCAGGGAAACUUGAGCUAAUACCGGAUACGCCCUUUUGGGGAAAGGUUUACUGCCGAAGGAUCGGCCCGCGUCUGAUUAGCUUGUUGGUGGGGUUACGGCCUACCAAGGCGACGAUCAGUAGUUGGUCUGAGAGGAUGAUCAGCCACACUGGGACUGAGACACGGCCCAGACUCCUACGGGAGGCAGCAGUGGGGAAUAUUGGACAAUGGGCGCAAGCCUGAUCCAGCCAUGCCGCGUGAGUGAUGAAGGCCUUAGGGUUGUAAAGCUCUUUUGUCCGGGACGAUAAUGACGGUACCGGAAGAAUAAGCCCCGGCUAACUUCGUG